AUUGAACGCUGGCGGCAGGCCUAACACAUGCAAGUCGAACGAGUGGCGGACGGGUGAGUAAUGUCUGGGAAACUGCCUGAUGGAGGGGGAUAACUCCUGGAAACGGUAGCCAAUACCGCAUACCAUCAGAUGUGCCCAGAUGGGAUUAGCUCGUUGGUGGGGUAACGGCUCACAAAGGCGACGAUCCCUAGCUGGUCUGAGAGGAUGACCAGCCAGACUGGAACUGAGACACGGUACAGAAGCCGACGGGAGGAAGCAGGGGGGAAUAGUGCACAAUGGGCGCAAGACGGAUGCAGCCAUGCCGAGUGUAUGAAGAAGGACGUCGGGUUGUAAAGUACUUUCAGCGGGGAGGCGUUACCCGCAGAAGAAGCACCGGCGAACGCCGUGCCAGCAGCGGCGGUAAUAC
This 406-nucleotide ribosomal RNA is filed under the name uncultured bacterium. Its description in RNAcentral is "partial 16S ribosomal RNA". It matches the Rfam family "Bacterial small subunit ribosomal RNA", at positions 29 to 526 of the family's 1533-position model. The record is from RNAcentral.